UACGGAGGGGGCUAGCGUUGUUCGGAAUUACUGGGCGUAAAGCGCACGUAGGCGGCUUUGUAAGUUAGAGGUGAAAGCCCAGGGCUUAACCCUGGAAUUGCCUUUAAGACUGCAUCGCUAGAAUUGUGGAGAGGUAAGUGGAAUUCCGAGUGUAGAGGUGAAAUUCGUAGAUAUUCGGAAGAACACCAGUGGCGAAGGCGGCUCACUGGACCGGUAUUGACGCUGAGGUGCGAAAGCGUGGGGAGCAAACAGG
Molecule: ribosomal RNA, 253 nt
Filed under: uncultured bacterium
Lineage: Bacteria
Description: partial 16S ribosomal RNA
Rfam family: Bacterial small subunit ribosomal RNA
Source: RNAcentral